Molecule: ribosomal RNA, 116 nt
Filed under: Pogona vitticeps (central bearded dragon)
Lineage: Eukaryota; Metazoa; Chordata; Lepidosauria; Squamata; Agamidae
Source: RNAcentral
UCCACUCUAUAUCAUCUCAAAUACACUGAUCUUGUCUGAUUUCAGAAGCUGAACAGGGUUGGGUGUGACUAGUAUCUGGAUGGUGUCCACAAGGGAUCUCCAGGUAGGGGUAGGAA